GAGUUCCGAUAAGAUCACCAAAGUUAAGCAACAUCCAACCAGGUCAGUACUUAGAUGGGUGAUCGCUUGGGAAUACCAGGUGCUGUAAG
Acanthosepion pharaonis is the source of this 89-nucleotide non-coding RNA. The record is from the annotation of a GenBank genome assembly. NCBI's taxonomy places the organism in Eukaryota, Metazoa, Mollusca, Cephalopoda, Sepiida, Sepiidae.